UAUGUCUGCUUCCAUCAUACAAAAUUUAUAAGCUCAUCAAAUGAGUGCAGAGAUGCUAGCAUCUUUGUACCUAGCUGUGUUUUGGAAAAUUCGUGAAUUAGGCUGAGCUUGCUGCUGGGUGUUUUAAAGAUGGAAAUAAAGAAAGAAUCAGUCUUCUUUGUGAUAUACAUAUUCAGAAAAUGCAUCCAUUGCUUUAAAACUAGCCAAUCACCAUCGAGUACACAAAGCAUCACAACACAUCGCAUUGCCAUGAUGCACUACAUUGUGUUGCUUGCCUUCUUACUUACGACGUCUGCUCUCUACAGCUUCGAUGUGAUGUAUUGCCUUUCUCCUUUCGGUUGGUCUGGAUAGUGAAGAUGCUAGUGCACCAGUUUCUAGUUUUGAAAUCUGGGUUCGAAUUCUGAUU
Molecule: long non-coding RNA, 406 nt
Filed under: Androctonus crassicauda
Lineage: Eukaryota; Metazoa; Arthropoda; Arachnida; Scorpiones; Buthidae
Source: RNAcentral